Molecule: ribosomal RNA, 486 nt
Filed under: uncultured bacterium
Lineage: Bacteria
Description: partial 16S ribosomal RNA
Rfam family: Bacterial small subunit ribosomal RNA
Source: RNAcentral
AUUGAACGCUGGCGGCAUGCCUUACACAUGCCAGUCGAACGGCAGCACGGGUGCUUGCCCCUGGUGGCGAGUGGCGAACGGGUGAGUAAUACAUCGGAACAUGUCCUGUAGUGGGGGAUAGCCCGGCGAAAGCCGGAUUAAUACCGCAUACGAUCUACGGAUGAAAGCGGGGGACCUUCGGGCCUCGCGCUAUAGGGUUGGCCGAUGGCUGAUUAGCUAGUUGGUGGGGUAAAGGCCUACCAAGGCGACGAUCAGUAGCUGGUCUGAGAGGACGACCAGCCAAACUGGGACUGGAGCAAGGGCCAGACUCCUAAGGGAGGGAGCAGGUGGGAAUUUUUGGACAAGGGCGAAAGCCUGGAUCAAGAAAGGCGGGUGGGUGGAGAAGGGCUUCGGGGUGGAAAACCCCUUUGGUCGGGAAGAAAAUCUUUGGCCCUAAUCCGGCCGGGGAAGACGGGAACCGAAGAAAAAGGCACGGCUAACUACGUG